UUGAAAGGGAAACGAUUGAAGUCAGUCGUGCUGGCGCGAAAUCAACCCUCUCGUCUUGAGAUCACAUGGCGUGGCGAGCCUCAAAACCGUCACGAAGCGUGAACUCUUGGUGAAAUGGAGCACUUUCGUGUCCGCUGGUUAACAUCAAUUUCGAACGUCAUAAAAAGGCUGGAGGGAUGUGGCUCCUUCGGGAGUGUUAUAACCUUUAGCGGAAUGUGGUGUUCGGGAUUGAGGAUUGCAACGAAUACCUUUAGGGCUGUUCCACCUGGCUUCUCUUUGGUAUCCUGGUGACGACAGCUUGCUGACGUUGUUAGGAUUCGCCUUUGAACAGGCUAGAGUGUGAGCAAAUUCGUUAAGGAUGUUGACGUA
RNAcentral lists this ribosomal RNA (369 nucleotides) under uncultured Glomus. Its description in RNAcentral is "LSU rRNA". Lineage: Eukaryota; Fungi; Glomeromycota; Glomeromycetes; Glomerales; Glomeraceae. The record is from RNAcentral.